CACAAACUGCAAAUACGUCAGAUGUGUGA
RNAcentral lists this non-coding RNA (29 nucleotides) under Homo sapiens (human). Lineage: Eukaryota; Metazoa; Chordata; Mammalia; Primates; Hominidae. The record is from RNAcentral.